UACUAGAGUAGCACUCGCAUAUCAAUAAGCGGAGGAAAAGAAACUAACAAGGAUUCCCCUAGUAACGGCGAGUGAAGCGGGAAGAGCUCAAAUUUGAAAUCUUAAAGGGUUUCCCUUUACGAAUUGUAGUUUAAAGAAGUGUUUCCUGUUGAGGUUUUGGUAAAAGUUCUUUGGAAUAGGACAUCAUAGAGGGUGAGAAUCCCGUAUUUGACCUUUACUUUCAACUUUGUGAUACACUUUCAAAGAGUCGGAUUGUUUGGGAAUGCAGUCCAAAAUGGGUGGUAAAUUUCAUCUAAAGCUAAAUAUUGGCGAGAGACCGAUAGCGAACAAGUACCGUGAGGGAAAGAUGAAAAGAACUUUGAAAAGAGAGUUAAACAGUACGUGAAAUUGUCAAAAGGGAAGCGUUUGACACCAGUGUUGUUUUUCUGAAAAUCAAUUAAAGAACUGUUUAUGCUAAGCUGUUUAGACUUUAUCAGCUAACUGUUUAGUUUUGAGCUUUUCUUUAAUGCACUUUUCAGUUAACAAGUCAACACCAAUUUCUUUUGCUGUAAAAAAGCUUGAGGAAGGUGGCUUGAGAUUCGUCUUAAGUGUUUAUAGCCUCUUGCCUAUGCAGUCGGAGAGAUUGAGGUCUGCAGCGUAGAUCCUUCGGGGCUAAAUGCAUUUGUGCUAAGUUAUAGCAUUUUAUAGACAACUUGUUGACUAUGAUUUGUCUUGUAGCUUACUCGCUUAUGUUAUUUUACCUACGCUUAGGAUGUUGAUAUCGCGCUCUCACUG
RNAcentral lists this ribosomal RNA (774 nucleotides) under uncultured Neocallimastigales. RNAcentral describes it as "partial large subunit ribosomal RNA". It matches the Rfam family "Eukaryotic large subunit ribosomal RNA", at positions 20 to 621 of the family's 3401-position model. The record is from RNAcentral. Lineage: Eukaryota; Fungi; Neocallimastigomycota; Neocallimastigomycetes; Neocallimastigales.